This 90-nucleotide non-coding RNA is filed under the name Chloropicon laureae. The record is from RNAcentral. Lineage: Eukaryota; Viridiplantae; Chlorophyta; Chloropicophyceae; Chloropicales; Chloropicaceae.
GAAAGUGAAUGAAAAAAUUAAAAAAAAAAAAACUCUUCUCAUCUUUUCCAAAAUGGAAGAAUGGCAAAAUUUUUUUUUUUUGGAUUUGUC